This is a long non-coding RNA of Limulus polyphemus (Atlantic horseshoe crab), 258 nucleotides long. RefSeq lists it as uncharacterized. The record is from RefSeq and is a predicted model, not a curated record. The transcript is spliced from 3 exons. Lineage: Eukaryota; Metazoa; Arthropoda; Merostomata; Xiphosura; Limulidae.
GUUUUAAUUUUUGUUUGUUUGGGCAUUGUGUAAGUAGGUGAGCUUUAAUACGGUCAUUCCUUGUAUUUUAUUUAGAUAAUGACUUGAACACAAUACCUGUGGACUCUGCAGACAAAUGAUACCAAUUAAACAGGGUUUGACAGGAGAAUAGUGACACAAGCUUCCUUUUAAGCAAGGUAUUUCGGAAGAGGGGGCAAGACCAUUUUUUUUAAAGGUAAAAACAUUGAGACUUGCUAGUGUUAAAUAAAACAUGGAUGU